UAGGGAAUCUUCGGCAAUGGACGAAAGUCUGACCGAGCAACGCCGCGUGAGUGAAGAAGGUUUUCGGAUCGUAAAACUCUGUUGUUAGAGAAGAACAAGGACGUUAGUAACUGAACGUCCCCUGACGGUAUCUAACCAGAAAGCCACGGCUAACUACGUGCCAGCAGCCGCGGUAAUACGUAGGUGGCAAGCGUUGUCCGGAUUUAUUGGGCGUAAAGCGAGCGCAGGCGGUUUCUUGAGUCUGAUGUGAAAGCCCCCGGCUCAACCGGGGAGGGUCAUUGGAAACUGGGAGACUUGAGUGCAGAAGAGGAGAGUGGAAUUCCAUGUGUAGCGGUGAAAUGCGUAGAUAUAUGGAGGAACACCAGUGGCGAAGGCGGCUCUCUGGUCUGUAACUGACGCUGAGGCUCGAAAGCGUGGGGAGCAAACAGG
RNAcentral lists this ribosomal RNA (429 nucleotides) under Chloroflexota bacterium. RNAcentral describes it as "Chloroflexi bacterium partial 16S ribosomal RNA". It matches the Rfam family "Bacterial small subunit ribosomal RNA", at positions 355 to 776 of the family's 1533-position model. Lineage: Bacteria; Bacillati; Chloroflexota. RNAcentral also lists the same sequence under 1 other name. The record is from RNAcentral.